UGGGGAAUAUUGCACAAUGGGCGAAAGCCUGAUGCAGCAACGCCGCGUGAGUGAUGAAGGUCUUCGGAUUGUAAGGCUCUGUCUUUUGGGACGAUAAUGACGGUACCAAAGGAGGAAGCCACGGCUAACUACGUGCCAGCAGCCGCGGUAAUACGUAGGUGGCGAGCGUUGUCCGGAUUUACUGGGCGUAAAGGGUGCGUAGGCGGAUGUUUAAGUGAGAUGUGAAAUACCCGGGCUUAACUUGGGUGCUGCAUUUCAAACUGGAUAUCUAGAGUGCAGGAGAGGAGAAUGGAAUUCCUAGUGUAGCGGUGAAAUGCGUAGAGAUUAGGAAGAACACCAGUGGCGAAGGCGAUUCUCUGGACUGUAACUGACGCUGAGGCACGAAAGCGUGGGUAGCAAACAGGAUUAGAUACCCUGGUAGUCCACGCCGUAAACGAUGAGUACUAGGUGUAGGAGGUAUCGACCCCUUCUGUGCCGCAGUAAACACAUUAAGUACUCCGCCUGGGAAGUACGAUCGCAAGAUUAAAACUCUAAAGUGAAUU
Molecule: ribosomal RNA, 542 nt
Filed under: uncultured bacterium
Lineage: Bacteria
Description: partial 16S ribosomal RNA
Rfam family: Bacterial small subunit ribosomal RNA
Source: RNAcentral